RNAcentral lists this ribosomal RNA (253 nucleotides) under uncultured bacterium. Its description in RNAcentral is "partial 16S ribosomal RNA". It matches the Rfam family "Bacterial small subunit ribosomal RNA", at positions 524 to 776 of the family's 1533-position model. The record is from RNAcentral.
UACGGGGGGGGCAAGCGUUGUUCGGAAUUACUGGGCGUAAAGGGCUCGUAGGUGGCCAACUAAGUCAGACGUGAAAUCCCUCGGCUUAACCGGGGAACUGCGUCUGAUACUGGAUGGCUUGAGUUCGGGAGAGGGAUGCGGAAUUCCAGGUGUAGCGGUGAAAUGCGUAGAUAUCUGGAGGAACACCGGUGGCGAAGGCGAGUCCAUGGACCGCAACUGACGCUGAGGCGCGAAAGCUAGGGGAGCAAACGGG